AUAAGUGCUGAAAGCAUCUAAGCAUGAAGCCCCCCUCAAGAUGAGAUUUCCCAUAGCGCAAGCUAGUAAGAUCCCUGAAAGAUGAUCAGGUUGAUAGGUCAGAGGUGGAAGCGUGGCGACAUGUGUAGCUGACUGAUACUAAUCGAUCGAGGACUUAACCAA
This 162-nucleotide ribosomal RNA is filed under the name Priestia megaterium. RNAcentral's name for it is "partial 23S ribosomal RNA". It matches the Rfam family "Bacterial large subunit ribosomal RNA", at positions 2764 to 2925 of the family's 2925-position model. The record is from RNAcentral. Lineage: Bacteria; Bacillati; Bacillota; Bacilli; Caryophanales; Bacillaceae.